CAAUAGCGUAUAUUAAAGUUGUUGCAGUUAAAAAGCUCGUAGUUGGAUUUGUGGCGUGCGGUGUGUUCCGGGCACUUGUUGUCUGAGUAACCUGCCGCUGCCAUCCUUGGGUGGAACCUGUGUGGCAUUAGGUUGUCGUGCAGGGGAUGCCCUUCAUUUACUGUGAAAAAAUUAGAGUGUUCAAAGCAGGCUUAUGCCGUUGAAUAUAUUAGCAUGGAAUAAUGAGAUAGGACUUUUUUGCUAUUUUGUUGGUUUGCGCAAAGAGGUAAUGAUUAAUAGGGACAGUUGGGGGUAUUCGUAUUCCAUUGUCAGAGGUGAAAUUCUUGGAUUUUUGGAAGACGAACUACUGCGAAAGCAUUUACCAAGGAUGUUUUCAUUAA
Molecule: ribosomal RNA, 380 nt
Filed under: uncultured eukaryote
Lineage: Eukaryota
Description: partial 18S ribosomal RNA
Rfam family: Eukaryotic small subunit ribosomal RNA
Source: RNAcentral